UACGAAGGGGGCUAGCGUUGCUCGGAAUUACUGGGCGUAAAGGGAGCGUAGGCGGAUAGUUCAGUCAGAGGUGAAAUCCCAGGGCUCAACCCUGGAACUGCCUUUGAUACUGGCCAUCUUGAGUAUGGGAGAGGUGUGUGGAACUCCGAGUGUAGAGGUGAAAUUCGUAGAUAUUCGGAAGAACACCAGUGGCGAAGGCGACACACUGGCCCAUUACUGACGCUGAGGCUCGAAAGCGUGGGGAGCAAACAGG
Molecule: ribosomal RNA, 253 nt
Filed under: uncultured bacterium
Lineage: Bacteria
Description: partial 16S ribosomal RNA
Rfam family: Bacterial small subunit ribosomal RNA
Source: RNAcentral